Molecule: ribosomal RNA, 392 nt
Filed under: uncultured bacterium
Lineage: Bacteria
Description: partial 16S ribosomal RNA
Rfam family: Bacterial small subunit ribosomal RNA
Source: RNAcentral
AUACGGAGAAUCCGAGCGUUAUCCGGAUUUAUUGGGUUUAAAGGGUGCGCAGGCGGCCAUUUAAGUCAGCGGUUAAAUCGUGGGGCUCAACCCCAUUCUGCCGUUGAUACUGGGUGGCUUGAUUGCGGUCGAGGUUGGCGGAAUUCGUUGUGUAGCGGUGAAAUGCAUAGAUAUGACGAAGAACACCGAUUGCGUAGGCAGCUGACCAGACCGCAAAUGACGCUCAUGCACGAAAGUGCGGGGAUCGAACAGGAUUAGAUACCCUGGUAGUCCGCACAGUAAACGAUGAAUACUUGUUUUCGGCGAUAUAAUGUCGGAGGCAAAGCGAAAGCGAUAAGUAUUCCACCUGGGGAGUACGCCGGCAACGGUGAAACUCAAAGGAAUUGGCGGGG